This 251-nucleotide long non-coding RNA is filed under the name Carica papaya (papaya). RNAcentral's name for it is "long non-coding RNA (CPAP_LNC012989)". Lineage: Eukaryota; Viridiplantae; Streptophyta; Magnoliopsida; Brassicales; Caricaceae. The record is from RNAcentral.
UAACUUAGAGGCAUGAGAAAGCUUAAGAACAUUUGUCCUGAAUGCAGUAGGGAUUGAAAUACGAUCCUAGAAUCUACACAAAGCCUCAUCGUUGAGCCUGAAAUCAGGAAAUUCGUCAAAAGUAAACUUACUUAGGUUCUGACUUAUCAUGGGAUUAGUGGACUAAGCUUCUCAAAAUUUCAUAAAAAGAUCAGGCAAGGCCCAAAUUUGGGUGAGGUAGGCACCAUUGCCAUAAAGAUUAAGGUGGAGUG